This 555-nucleotide ribosomal RNA is filed under the name Geotrichum candidum. Its description in RNAcentral is "eukaryotic LSU rRNA". It matches the Rfam family "Eukaryotic large subunit ribosomal RNA", at positions 31 to 610 of the family's 3401-position model. Lineage: Eukaryota; Fungi; Ascomycota; Dipodascomycetes; Dipodascales; Dipodascaceae. The record is from RNAcentral.
UAUUGCAUUAUUCCAAAAAGCGGAGGAAAAGAAACCAACAGGGAUUGCCUUAGUAACGGCGAGUGAAGCGGCAAAAGCUCAAAUUUGAAAUCGGCCUCCAGGUCGAGUUGUAAUUUGUAGAUUGUAUCUUGAGAGCGGAUUAAAGUCUGUUGGAACACAGCGCCUUAGAGGGUGACAGCCCCGUAAAAUCUAUUCUCAUUGUAAGAUACUUUCGAAGAGUCGAGUUGUUUGGGAAUGCAGCUCUAAGUGGGAGGUAAAUUCCUUCUAAAGCUAAAUAUUGACGAGAGACCGAUAGCGAACAAGUACUGUGAAGGAAAGAUGAAAAGCACUUUGAAAAGAGAGUGAAAAAGUACGUGAAAUUGUUAAAAGGGAAGGGUAUUGAAUCAGACUUGGUGCUGUUGUUCAACUGUGUUUUGGCACAGUGUACUCAGCAGUACUAGGCCAAGGUGGGGUGUUUGGGAGUGAAAAAGAAGUAGGAACGUAACUCUUCGGAGUGUUAUAGCCUACUUUCAUAGCUCCUCAGGCGCCUCAGGACUGCGCUCGGCAAGGACUUGU